RNAcentral lists this ribosomal RNA (305 nucleotides) under uncultured bacterium. RNAcentral describes it as "bacterial SSU rRNA". It matches the Rfam family "Bacterial small subunit ribosomal RNA", at positions 334 to 636 of the family's 1533-position model. The record is from RNAcentral.
UGUGCCUACGGGGGGCAGCAGUGAGGAAUAUUGGUCAAUGGCCGGGAGGCUGAACCAGCCAAGUCGCGUGAGGGAAGACGGCCCUACGGGUUGUAAACCUCUUUUGUCAGGGAGCAAGGUGCAGGUCGGGACCUGCUGUGAGAGUACCUGAAGAAAAAGCAUCGGCUAACUCCGUGCCAGCAGCCGCGGUAAUACGGAGGAUGCGAGCGUUAUCCGGAUUUACUGGGUGUAAAGGGCGUGUAGGCGGGAAAGCAAGUCAGAUGUGAAAACCAUGGGCUCAACCUGUGGCCUGCAUUUGAAACUGU